Long non-coding RNA from Meriones unguiculatus (Mongolian gerbil), 1540 nucleotides. RefSeq lists it as uncharacterized. Lineage: Eukaryota; Metazoa; Chordata; Mammalia; Rodentia; Muridae. The transcript is spliced from 3 exons. The record is from RefSeq and is a predicted model, not a curated record.
CGCUGUCAACUACCGGGAAGAGACCUUCAGAUUCAGCACGAUCAUUUCCAGAUGUCAGAGAGCAUUAGCACUCAGAGUCCACACCAUUCUGAUGGCCCCUGACAUCCUCUGUUCUUGGAAGCUGAGCAGAUUUGGGACUGGGUAUUUCCAGGAUAAUUAAGGAUUUAAUUGCAAAAUUCAAAACAAAGCAAUGAAGGCAAAUACAGAGAAAUGCAUGUUAAUCCUCCCUGUAAGAAUUUCAGAACACAGUGUGGAAGGCAGAAAGAUACCAGCAGUCAAGUCCAAAGGUGAACACCAGACAGUAACAUAAAUCAGCACAGUUCAGCAGGUUGGGAUGAGUCAACGGAAACUGCAAGACUCACUUGGAUGGCACCGAAAAGUCCUCUGGAACACUUCCCUCUUCGAAGUCAAGGGUCGAAGCACAAAGACCAGCACAGAAAUGUCGAUCCAAAUAACAUUGUCUCAGUGUGCAUGGGCCUCUACAUGUCUCCUCUCCUCUGAGUCCAGCCACGAAGGUUUUCUGCCAGCCAAAGUCAAGCCCCUCACAUGAGACAGCUCACAGCAAGACAUCACGUGCCCUCUCACAAGACAGCUUCUAGCAAAACAUCACAUGAAACAUCUGAGCCUUCAGAAAAAAAAAAAAAAAAAACCCAGAAACUUCGACUUCAUCCUAUGAUCUUGAGAAUCUGUGGUUCUGGUCAGCUGUGCCUGAAAAUUCAACUGUGUGUCCAGCACCAUUGAAGUGAGACCUUUGCUUUACUGGGACAAUUGAUGCGCGUUCCCUGAGGCUGAGAAAUCACCUGAUGAAGAAGAGACAGACAUUAUUGAGGUGAAAUCUUCUGAGAAGUGUUUUUUUCCAGUUCAUCACACAGAAGCUAUAGCCCGGUAGUAGGGGUGCAAAGCUGUACUUUGGGCUGGCAGCUGAACGAUAACUGUUAACGAUAUUUAACAGUCUCUGAUGUGGUACUGAUUUUUGGUGUGACAGCUGAAGGUUGGCACUGUUUGAGGAUAGGAGACACAAUUGGUAAAGGUGCAGCUUUGGUUGCAGUAAAGCAAGCAGGAUCGUAAGGGUCAGGGGAGAAGCUGAGGCUUGGCCCUUUUUGGCAGAGUGGGAGUCCCUGAAGAAUGACUAGGAGGCCGUUGGUGAAGGUGUAGCCUCUGCCUCAGUGAAGACUCCAAAAUAUUGAAGAUGCUAAGACUGGGAUGACAACUAAGGACAACAUCAGCUGUAAAGUGAAGCCGGCCAGAGCCCACGAGAAAACCUAUGUAUGCUACACAUGACAGAGUCAGAUAAAUGGAACUGUCCAAGCCCUUUAGAAUUCACAAGUUUACGAAUGAGCCCCAGACAUUGGACACUGUGCUGUUUACACUGUUGGAUUAUGGUUUUGCUUUGAUCUGAUUGGAACUGUGUCCUGGUUCUUUCCUAUUGGAACAAGAAAUUAUUAAAUUUAUUUUUUAUUUACCUGGAUCCCACAGAGACUGGAUUUUAAAGAGAUCUUGGACUAGUGUUAAAACCAUUAAAGGCUAUAGAAUGUCAAAA